Molecule: ribosomal RNA, 1023 nt
Filed under: Serratia liquefaciens
Lineage: Bacteria; Pseudomonadati; Pseudomonadota; Gammaproteobacteria; Enterobacterales; Yersiniaceae
Description: partial 23S ribosomal RNA
Rfam family: Bacterial large subunit ribosomal RNA
Source: RNAcentral
UGAGGCGAACCGGGGGAACUGAAACAUCUAAGUACCCCGAGGAAAAGAAAUCAACCGAGAUUCCCCCAGUAGCGGCGAGCGAACGGGGAGGAGCCCAGAACCUGAAUCAGUUCUUGUGUUAGUGGAAGCGUCUGGAAAGUCGCACAGUAAAGGGUGAUAGUCCCGUACACUAAAAUGCAUUAAUUGUGAGUUCGAUGAGUAGGGCGGGACACGUGACAUCCUGUCUGAAUAUGGGGGGACCAUCCUCCAAGGCUAAAUACUCCUGACUGACCGAUAGUGAACCAGUACCGUGAGGGAAAGGCGAAAAGAACCCCGGCGAGGGGAGUGAAAUAGAACCUGAAACCGUGUACGUACAAGCAGUGGGAGCACCUUCGUGGUGUGACUGCGUACCUUUUGUAUAAUGGGUCAGCGACUUAUAUUUUGUAGCAAGGUUAACCGUAUAGGGGAGCCGUAGGGAAACCGAGUCUUAACUGGGCGAAUAGUUGCAAGGUAUAGACCCGAAACCCGGUGAUCUAGCCAUGGGCAGGUUGAAGGUUGGGUAACACUAACUGGAGGACCGAACCGACUAAUGUUGAAAAAUUAGCGGAUGACUUGUGGCUGGGGGUGAAAGGCCAAUCAAACCGGGAGAUAGCUGGUUCUCCCCGAAAGCUAUUUAGGUAGCGCCUCGUGAACUCAUCUUCGGGGGUAGAGCACUGUUUCGGCUAGGGGGCCAUCCCGGCUUACCAAACCGAUGCAAACUCCGAAUACCGAAGAAUGUUAUCACGGGAGACACACGGCGGGUGCUAACGUCCGUCGUGAAGAGGGAAACAACCCAGACCGCCAGCUAAGGUCCCAAAGUCAUGGUUAAGUGGGAAACGAUGUGGGAAGGCAUAGACAGCCAGGAUGUUGGCUUAGAAGCAGCCAUCAUUUAAAGAAAGCGUAAUAGCUCACUGGUCGAGUCGGCCUGCGCGGAAGAUGUAACGGGGCUAAACCAUGCACCGAAGCUGCGGCAGCGACGCUUAGGCGUUGUUGGGUAGGGGAGCG